RNAcentral lists this long non-coding RNA (316 nucleotides) under Lathyrus oleraceus (garden pea). RNAcentral describes it as "Pisum sativum (pea) long non-coding RNA (PSAT_LNC042276)". The record is from RNAcentral. Lineage: Eukaryota; Viridiplantae; Streptophyta; Magnoliopsida; Fabales; Fabaceae.
ACUUUUAAAAAUGCUGAUUUUUUUGUCAAACUCUGUUUGACCUUGUUGAACUUAGGAUAAUUCACUUGGACUUUUUAAAGUUGAUUUGAAGUGAAUUUGAAGUUUGACCUUUCUUUAAUAUUUUAAUUCAAGUUUAUUUUUAAAUAUUAAAAAUGCCAAAAAUAUUUUGUUUAUUUCUUGACUUCCAAUCUUCAUCUCAUUUCUGAUUUUUGUGGUUUGACCUUGAUCUCCCCUAUCUUUGGUCAACAUUUAUGGAUUGGUACAUUCCUUAUCAUUUGAUGCAUUUUAUUUUCUUCUUUUCCAUUAUCCAUCUUCU